CUACGGAGGGUGCAAGCGUUACUCGGAAUCACUGGGCGUAAAGCGCGCGCAGGCGGCUAUUUAAGUUGGAGGUGAAAGCUUACGGCUCAACCGUAGAACUGCAUCCAAAACUAUUUAGCUAGAGUGUGGGAGAGGAAGAUGGAAUUAGUUGUGUAGGGGUAAAAUCCGUAGAGAUAACUAGGAAUACCAAAAGCGAAGGCAAUCUUCUGGAACACUACUGACGCUGAGGCGCGAAAGCGUGGGGAGCAAACGGGAUUAGAAACCCUAGUAGUCC
This 274-nucleotide ribosomal RNA is filed under the name uncultured bacterium. Its description in RNAcentral is "partial 16S ribosomal RNA". It matches the Rfam family "Bacterial small subunit ribosomal RNA", at positions 523 to 796 of the family's 1533-position model. The record is from RNAcentral.